GAGCAAGCUGAUGGAAUGGUUAAUGUUG
Molecule: non-coding RNA, 28 nt
Filed under: Homo sapiens (human)
Lineage: Eukaryota; Metazoa; Chordata; Mammalia; Primates; Hominidae
Source: RNAcentral